This 30-nucleotide non-coding RNA is filed under the name Mus musculus (house mouse). Lineage: Eukaryota; Metazoa; Chordata; Mammalia; Rodentia; Muridae. The record is from RNAcentral.
UNCAAAGUGAUACUAUGCUACCAUGUUGCC